This 253-nucleotide ribosomal RNA is filed under the name uncultured bacterium. RNAcentral describes it as "partial 16S ribosomal RNA". It matches the Rfam family "Bacterial small subunit ribosomal RNA", at positions 524 to 776 of the family's 1533-position model. The record is from RNAcentral.
UACGUAGGUGGCAAGCGUUGUCCGGAUUUAUUGGGUUUAAAGGGUGCGUAGGCGGCCCUGUAAGUCAGUGCUGAAAUAUCCCGGCUUAACCGGGAGGGUGGCAUUGAUACUGCGGGGCUAGAGUACAGAUGAGGUAGGCGGAAUUGACGGUGUAGCGGUGAAAUGCUUAGAUAUCGUCAAGAACACCUAUAGCGAAGGCAGCUAACUAGGCUGUAACUGACGCUGAGGCACGAAAGCGUGGGGAGCGAACAGG